GUUGGACAAUAGCAAGGCUCCGCCCAGCCUGGUUGGACAAUAGCAAGGCUCCGCCCAGCCUGGUUGGACAAUAGCAAGGCUCCGCCCAGCCUGGUUGGACAAUAGCAAGGCUCCGCCCAGCCUGGUUGGACAAUAGCAAGGCUCCAUUAGCCAUCUGUAUUUAUAUCACUAUGUUUUAGCCAUUUUGUUAUAUGUCUCUGGCAUUGGCUUUGCACGGACCACCUGACUUUAACCGUUACAUAGUUAACAUUGUAUUCUGUAUUAGUAGGAGCCCUAUUUGUUCAUAUCUGUAUGUAUUUUAUUUUUCAAAGUGUUUCUUCUUUUAGCCGUAGAUGAUCAUUAAAAACCUGUAAAAGUAUUUUUGGUCUUUGAAUAUUUUGAUGACUUCCUAUGAUGCUUUUAGUUCUUAUAAUGCGGCUAGUCCAGACAGGCUGGGUGACAGGCUUACUCCAGCCCUAAGAUAAUGCCUCUAGUUGUGACAUGCUUACUUCAGCCCUAAGAUAAUGCCUCUAGUCCAGACAGGCUGGGUGACAGGCUUACUCCAGCCCUAAGAUAAUGCCUCUAGUCCAGAAUGGCUGGGUGACAGGCUUCCUUCAGCCCUGAGAUAAUGCCUGUAGUCCAGACAGGCUUACUUCGGCCCUGAGAUAAUGCCUCUAGUCCAGAAUGGCUGGGUGACAGGCUUCCUUCAGCCCUGAGAUAAUGCCUGUAGUCCAGACAGGCUUCCUCCAGCCCUGAGAUAAUGUCUGUAGUCCAGACAGGCUGGGUGACAGGCUUCCUUCAGCUCUAAGAUAAUGUCUGUAGUCCAGACAGGCUGGGUGACAGGCUUACUCCAGCCCUAAGAUAAUGUCUGUAGUCCAGACAGGCUGGGUGACAGGCUUACUCCAGCCCUGAGAUAAUGCCUCUAGUCCAGACAGUCUUCCUCCAGCCCUGAGAUAAUGCCUCUAGUCCAGACAGUCUUCCUUCGGCCCCUGAGAUAAUGCCUGUAGUCCAGACAGGCUUCCUCCAGCCCUGAGAUAAUGUCUGUAGUCCAGACAGGCUGGGUGACAGGCUUCCUUCAGCCCUGAGAUAAUGCCUGUAGUCCAGACAGGCUGGGUGACAGUCUUCCUUCGGCCCUGAGAUAAUGCCUGUAGUCCAGACAGGGCUGAAGCAGGGCCGUCACUAGACGGUCAGGAGAUCCGGGGGCUCAGGCC
Molecule: long non-coding RNA, 1190 nt
Filed under: Salmo salar (Atlantic salmon)
Lineage: Eukaryota; Metazoa; Chordata; Actinopteri; Salmoniformes; Salmonidae
Description: lncRNA (ENSSSAG00000114163.1)
Source: RNAcentral